This 33-nucleotide ribosomal RNA is filed under the name Sporothrix sp. 2-CMW9489. RNAcentral's name for it is "partial large subunit ribosomal RNA". Lineage: Eukaryota; Fungi; Ascomycota; Sordariomycetes; Ophiostomatales; Ophiostomataceae. The record is from RNAcentral.
UUGACCUCGGAUCAGGUAGGACUACCCGCUGAA